This 483-nucleotide ribosomal RNA is filed under the name uncultured bacterium. RNAcentral's name for it is "partial 16S ribosomal RNA". It matches the Rfam family "Bacterial small subunit ribosomal RNA", at positions 30 to 507 of the family's 1533-position model. The record is from RNAcentral.
AUUGAACGCUGGCGGCAGGCCUAACACAUGCCAGUCGAGCGGAUGAAGGGAGCUUGCUCCUGGAUUCAGCGGCGGACGGGUGAGUAAUGCCAGGAAUCUGCCUGGUAGUGGGGGAUAACGUCCGGAAACGGGCGCUAAUACCGCAUACGUCCUGAGGGAGAAAGUGGGGGAUCUUCGGACCUCACGCUAUCAGAUGAGCCUAGGUCGGAUUAGCUAGUUGGUGGGGUAAAGGCCUACCAAGGCGACGAUCCGUAACUGGUCUGAGAGGAUGAUCAGUCACACUGGAACUGAGACACGGUCCAGACUCCUACGGGAGGCAGCAGUGGGGAAUAUUGGACAAUGGGCGAAAGCCUGAUCCAGCCAUGCCGCGUGUGUGAAGAAGGUCUUCGGAUUGUAAAGCACUUUAAGUUGGGAGGAAGGGCAGUAAGUUAAUACCUUGCUGUUUUGACGUUACCAACAGAAUAAGCACCGGCUAACUUCGUG